AAGUCGUAACAAGGUUUCCGUAGGUGAACCUGCGGAAGGAUCAUUACGCAUAGCGGAUGCGGCGCCCUCGCGGCCCGCUCCCCGCCCCGACCCGUCGGGACACCCUGUUUUUUGAGCACCAUUUGUUUCCUCGGCGGGCUUGCCCGCCAAUGAGGGCCCCCUUAAAACCUUGUAAUGAGCAGUCAGUCAGUAAGAAAAUAAAUUUGUCACAACUUUCAACAAUGGAUCUCUUGGCUCUG
RNAcentral lists this unclassified non-coding RNA (239 nucleotides) under Teichospora mariae. RNAcentral's name for it is "partial internal transcribed spacer region". The stretch from base 1 to 46 matches the Rfam family "Eukaryotic small subunit ribosomal RNA", at positions 1786 to 1831 of the family's 1831-position model. Lineage: Eukaryota; Fungi; Ascomycota; Dothideomycetes; Pleosporales; Teichosporaceae. The record is from RNAcentral.